Odocoileus virginianus texanus is the source of this 474-nucleotide non-coding RNA. NCBI's taxonomy places the organism in Eukaryota, Metazoa, Chordata, Mammalia, Artiodactyla, Cervidae. The record is from RefSeq and is a predicted model, not a curated record.
AGCUGCAGUCCAUGGCGUCACAAAGAGUCGGACACAACUUGGCAACUGAACAACAUCAACAAGAAUUUGAAGUAAGAGAAAGGAUAAAGGGAAGGAAGAGUGAAAAGAAGGUGAUAAAGGGUGUGAAGAAAUAAAGAGCAGACAAGUCAAUCAGGAGAUGAGGCGGGAAAAGAUCUGAGCACAGGGACGCUGAAGCAGGGACUGAGGAAGUAGAUGGCUCUCUGAGGAGAAUGUGGAAACUUGCACAGAUUUAUAGGCUGAGUGAAAGAAGAGAAGGAAAGCUUGAAUUUUCAAGACAAAGGAGAGGUACAAGUACAUAUUGGUCAAACCUCUUUGGAAAACUAUCUGGCAGCCUCCACCAAAACUAAAAUGUGAUAACCCAUGACCCAGCAUUUCUAUCUUAGGUCCUGAAAGACUAGCUGCAUAAGGAAGACACUCAAGAAUUAUUUGCUGAAUUUUGAGAUAAACUUCAUU